Molecule: ribosomal RNA, 497 nt
Filed under: uncultured bacterium
Lineage: Bacteria
Description: partial 16S ribosomal RNA
Rfam family: Bacterial small subunit ribosomal RNA
Source: RNAcentral
GACGAACGCUGGCGGCGUGCCUAAUACAUGCAAGUAGAACGCUGAAGAGAGGAGCUUGCGCUUCUUGGAUGAGUUGCGAACGGGUGAGUAACGCGUAGGUAACCUGCCUCGUAGCGGGGGAUAACUAUUGGAAACGAUAGCUAAUACCGCAUAACAAUGGAUGACACAUGUAAUUUAUUUGAAAGGGGCAAUUGCUCCACUACAAGAUGGACCUGCGUUGUAUUAGCUAGUAGGGGAGGUAAUGGCUCACCUAAGCGACGAUACAUAGCCGACCUGAGAGGGUGGUCGGCCACCCUGGGACUGAGACCCGGCCCAGACUCCUACGGGAGGCAGCAGUAGGGGAUCUUCGGCAAUGGGGGCAACCCUGACCGAGCACCGCCCCGUGAGUGAAGAAGGUUUUCGGAUCGUAAAGCUCUGUUGUAAGUCAAGAACGGGUGUGAGAGUGGAAAGUUCACACUGUGACGGUAGCUUAACAGAAAGGGACGGCUAACUACGUG